UGCGAUGUGGUAUCUGCACUCAGCAGUUUAUUCCUGCUGGUGUGUUCAAAGGACAGUGCAAUAGAAAUUCAGUAUGUGUCAUUGUUGGUUUUCUUGCCUUUGUGCAUGUUAAACCUGGUAUUUAAUAUUGACACAUUA
RNAcentral lists this small nucleolar RNA (138 nucleotides) under Castor canadensis (American beaver). Its description in RNAcentral is "Small nucleolar RNA SNORA8 (ENSCCNG00000013473.1)". It matches the Rfam family "Small nucleolar RNA SNORA8". Rfam says of the family: ACA8 is a member of the H/ACA class of snoRNA that guide the sites of modification of uridines to pseudouridines. Lineage: Eukaryota; Metazoa; Chordata; Mammalia; Rodentia; Castoridae. The record is from Rfam by way of RNAcentral.